AUUGAACGCUGGCGGCAUGCCUUACACAUGCAAGUCGAACGGUAACGGGCCUUCGGGUGCCGACGAGUGGCGAACGGGUGCGUAAUACAUCGGAACGUGCCCGAUCGUGGGGGAUAACGAGGCGAAAGCUUUGCUAAUACCGCAUACGAUCUACGGAUGAAAGCAGGGGACCGCAAGGCCUUGCGCGGGCGGAGCGGCCGAUGGCGGAUUAGGUAGUUGGUGGGAUAAAAGCUUACCAAGCCGACGAUCUGUAGCUGGUCUGAGAGGAUGAUCAGCCACACUGGGACUGAGACACGGCCCAGACUCCUACGGGAGGCAGCAGUGGGGAAUUUUGGACAAUGGGCGCAAGCCUGAUCCAGCCAUGCCGCGUGCAGGAUGAAGGCCUUCGGGUUGUAAACUGCUUUUGUACGGAACGAAAAGCCUUCUUUUAAUACAGGAGGGUCAUGACGGUACCGGAAGAAUAAGCACCGGCUAACUACGUG
This 482-nucleotide ribosomal RNA is filed under the name uncultured bacterium. RNAcentral's name for it is "partial 16S ribosomal RNA". It matches the Rfam family "Bacterial small subunit ribosomal RNA", at positions 30 to 507 of the family's 1533-position model. The record is from RNAcentral.